UUCCCUGUGGUCCAGUACUUAAGACACUGCACUUCCGCUGCAGGGGGCACAGGUUCAAUUCCUAGUUGGGGAA
This 73-nucleotide transfer RNA is filed under the name Bos taurus (domestic cattle). It matches the Rfam family "tRNA". Rfam says of the family: Transfer RNA (tRNA) molecules are approximately 80 nucleotides in length. Their secondary structure includes four short double-helical elements and three loops (D, anti-codon, and T loops). The record is from Rfam by way of RNAcentral. Lineage: Eukaryota; Metazoa; Chordata; Mammalia; Artiodactyla; Bovidae. RNAcentral also lists the same sequence under 5 other names.